Lontra canadensis (Northern American river otter) is the source of this 525-nucleotide long non-coding RNA. RefSeq lists it as uncharacterized. The record is from RefSeq and is a predicted model, not a curated record. Lineage: Eukaryota; Metazoa; Chordata; Mammalia; Carnivora; Mustelidae. The transcript is spliced from 3 exons.
ACCUAAGAGGUGCCUUAGACAUUUUGUUGAAUGAAUGAAGGUGAAUGAGGGAGAUGCCCCUCGUUCCUGGAAAACCUGUCUGGUCUAAUGCCUUUAAAGCUCCUUAGGCCAUGAAAUGUCCCUUCCCCCAUCUGUAAGUGUCUUUGGAGCGAUGGGAGCAGGGGCCUCCGCCUAUUCAGAACAGGCCCGCUGGGCUUCCUAGGACAGGAGAGGAAACUGAGCUGUGGGAAGUGAGGCAACGUGCUUAAGGCCACGGUCGUCAUUAUUUCCAUCGCACAUUUGUCUCUUGAAGCCUGGACGCUGCGGGGAGAACAGUGGUGGAGAGACCCCAGAGCUGAACAAGAAUCAGGCUUUCUACCCUCAAGAACUCAAGAAGUUUGACAGUGUGUAAGUGAUAGACAACAGGAGAUUCCCAGGAGAAGGUGAACAGGGUUAUUUGUCCGGGGAUGUGGAGGAGUGAGCGCAGGAACAAACUGUGUGUCAGAAAUUAUUCAAGAGGAUGCAGCCCCUCUGGGCCUACAUCUG